This 422-nucleotide ribosomal RNA is filed under the name uncultured bacterium. Its description in RNAcentral is "bacterial SSU rRNA". It matches the Rfam family "Bacterial small subunit ribosomal RNA", at positions 362 to 776 of the family's 1533-position model. The record is from RNAcentral.
UCUUCCACAAUGGGCGAAAGCCUGAUGGAGCAACGCCGCGUGAGCGAAGAAGGUCUUCGGAUCGUAAGGCUCUGUUGUAAGGGAAGAACAAGUGCAGUAGUAACUGGCUGCACCUUGACGGUACCUUACUAGAAAGCCACGGCUAACUACGUGCCAGCAGCCGCGGUAAUACGUAGGUGGCAAGCGUUGUCCGGAAUUAUUGGGCGUAAAGCGCGCGCAGGCGGUCUCUUAAGUCUGAUGUGAAAGCCCCCGGCUUAACCGGGGAGGGUCAUUGGAAACUGGGAGACUUGAGUGCAGGAGAGGGAAGCGGAAUUCCAUGUGUAGCGGUGAAAUGCGUAGAGAUAUGGAGGAACACCAGUGGCGAAGGCGGCUUCCUGGCCUGUAACUGACGCUGAGGCGCGAAAGCGUGGGGAGCAAACAGG